Molecule: small nucleolar RNA, 72 nt
Filed under: Carlito syrichta (Philippine tarsier)
Lineage: Eukaryota; Metazoa; Chordata; Mammalia; Primates; Tarsiidae
Description: Small nucleolar RNA SNORD113/SNORD114 family (ENSTSYG00000025316.2)
Rfam family: Small nucleolar RNA SNORD113/SNORD114 family
About the family: The imprinted human domain at 14q32 contains two clusters of tandemly repeated small nucleolar RNAs named 14q(I) and 14q(II) snoRNAs. These two clusters are named SNORD113 and SNORD114 respectively in the HGNC approved gene symbol nomenclature. The snoRNAs found in both clusters are clearly related and are represented here by a single family.
Source: Rfam by way of RNAcentral
UGGAUAAAUCCUGACUACUGGUAUUACAUGAGUCAUAUACAGUGAUUGUUUACCUGGAACUCUGAGGUUCGU